Molecule: unclassified non-coding RNA, 348 nt
Filed under: soil metagenome
Description: partial contains 5.8S ribosomal RNA, internal transcribed spacer 2, and large subunit ribosomal RNA
Rfam family: 5.8S ribosomal RNA (bases 1-120)
Source: RNAcentral
GAUGAAGAACGCAGCGAAAUGCGAUAAGUAAUGUGAAUUGCAGAAUUCAGUGAAUCAUCGAAUCUUUGAACGCACAUUGCGCCCGCCAGUAUUCUGGCGGGCAUGCCUGUCUGAGCGUUAUUUCAACCCUCAUGCCCCUAGGGCGUGGUGUUGGGGAUCGGCCAAAGCCCGCGAGGGACGGCCGGCCCCUAAAUCUAGUGGCGGACCCGUCGUGGCCUCCUCUGCGAAGUAGUGAUAUUCCGCAUCGGAGAGCGAUGAGCCCCUGCCGUUAAACCCCCAACUUUCCAAGGUUGACCUCAGAUCAGGUAGGAAUACCCGCUGAACUUAAGCAUAUCAAUAAGCGGAGGA